Molecule: ribosomal RNA, 321 nt
Filed under: Triticum aestivum (bread wheat)
Lineage: Eukaryota; Viridiplantae; Streptophyta; Magnoliopsida; Poales; Poaceae
Description: partial small subunit ribosomal RNA
Source: RNAcentral
AUGAAAGACCUCGGUGAAGCUUCUUACAUAUUGGGCAUCAAGAUUUAUAGAGAUAGAUCAAGAUGCUUAAUUGGACUUUCACAAAGUACAUACCUUGAUAAAGUUUUGAAAAAGUUCAAAAUAGAGGCAAAGAAAGGGUUCUUGCCCGUGCUACAAGGUGUGAAAUUGAGUCAGACUCAAUGCCCGACCACAGCAGAAGAUAGAGAGAAAAUGAAAGAUGUUCCCUAUGCUUCAGCCAUAGGCUCUAUCAUGUAUGCAAUGCUGUGUACCAGACCUAACAUGUGCUUAGCAAUAAGCUUGGCAGGAAGGUACCAAAGCAAU